RNAcentral lists this ribosomal RNA (1384 nucleotides) under Lacticaseibacillus rhamnosus. Its description in RNAcentral is "bacterial SSU rRNA". It matches the Rfam family "Bacterial small subunit ribosomal RNA", at positions 59 to 1416 of the family's 1533-position model. Lineage: Bacteria; Bacillati; Bacillota; Bacilli; Lactobacillales; Lactobacillaceae. The record is from RNAcentral.
AAGUUCUGAUUAUUGAAAGGUGCUUGCAUCUUGAUUUAAUUUUGAACGAGUGGCGGACGGGUGAGUAACACGUGGGUAACCUGCCCUUAAGUGGGGGAUAACAUUUGGAAACAGAUGCUAAUACCGCAUAAAUCCAAGAACCGCAUGGUUCUUGGCUGAAAGAUGGCGUAAGCUAUCGCUUUUGGAUGGACCCGCGGCGUAUUAGCUAGUUGGUGAGGUAACGGCUCACCAAGGCAAUGAUACGUAGCCGAACUGAGAGGUUGAUCGGCCACAUUGGGACUGAGACACGGCCCAAACUCCUACGGGAGGCAGCAGUAGGGAAUCUUCCACAAUGGACGCAAGUCUGAUGGAGCAACGCCGCGUGAGUGAAGAAGGCUUUCGGGUCGUAAAACUCUGUUGUUGGAGAAGAAUGGUCGGCAGAGUAACUGUUGUCGGCGUGACGGUAUCCAACCAGAAAGCCACGGCUAACUACGUGCCAGCAGCCGCGGUAAUACGUAGGUGGCAAGCGUUAUCCGGAUUUAUUGGGCGUAAAGCGAGCGCAGGCGGUUUUUUAAGUCUGAUGUGAAAGCCCUCGGCUUAACCGAGGAAGUGCAUCGGAAACUGGGAAACUUGAGUGCAGAAGAGGACAGUGGAACUCCAUGUGUAGCGGUGAAAUGCGUAGAUAUAUGGAAGAACACCAGUGGCGAAGGCGGCUGUCUGGUCUGUAACUGACGCUGAGGCUCGAAAGCAUGGGUAGCGAACAGGAUUAGAUACCCUGGUAGUCCAUGCCGUAAACGAUGAAUGCUAGGUGUUGGAGGGUUUCCGCCCUUCAGUGCCGCAGCUAACGCAUUAAGCAUUCCGCCUGGGGAGUACGACCGCAAGGUUGAAACUCAAAGGGAAUUGACGGGGGCCCGCACAAGCGGUGGAGCAUGUGGUUUAAUUCGAAGCAACGCGAAGAACCUUACCAGGUCUUGACAUCUUUUGAUCACCUGAGAGAUCAGGUUUCCCCUUCGGGGGCAAAAUGACAGGUGGUGCAUGGUUGUCGUCAGCUCGUGUCGUGAGAUGUUGGGUUAAGUCCCGCAACGAGCGCAACCCUUAUGACUAGUUGCCAGCAUUUAGUUGGGCACUCUAGUAAGACUGCCGGUGACAAACCGGAGGAAGGUGGGGAUGACGUCAAAUCAUCAUGCCCCUUAUGACCUGGGCUACACACGUGCUACAAUGGAUGGUACAACGAGUUGCGAGACCGCGAGGUCAAGCUAAUCUCUUAAAGCCAUUCUCAGUUCGGACUGUAGGCUGCAACUCGCCUACACGAAGUCGGAAUCGCUAGUAAUCGCGGAUCAGCACGCCGCGGUGAAUACGUUCCCGGGCCUUGUACACACCGCCCGUCACACCAUGAGAGUUUGUA